Molecule: ribosomal RNA, 736 nt
Filed under: uncultured eukaryote
Lineage: Eukaryota
Description: SSU rRNA
Rfam family: Eukaryotic small subunit ribosomal RNA
Source: RNAcentral
UAGUCUGGUGCCAGCAGCCGCGGUAAUUCCAGCUCCAAUAGCGUAUAUUAAAGUUGUUGUGGUUAAAAAGCUCGUAGUUGGAUCUCAACAGUCUUGAAGCGGUCAACUUUGUAGUUGUACUGCUUUGUAGACUGUGCUUUUGCUGGAGGUUUAGGGGUGCUCUUAAUCGAGUGUCUCUGGAUGCCAGCAGGUUUACUUUGAAAAAAUUAGAGUGCUCAAAGCAGGCUAAAAUGCCUGAAUAUUCGUGCAUGGAAUAAUAGAAUAGGAUGUCGAUCCUAUUUUGUUGGUUUCGGGACUUGACAUAAUGAUUAAUAGGGACAGUCGGGGGCAUUUGUAUUCAAACGACAGAGGUGAAAUUCUUGGACCGUUUGAAGACAAACUACUGCGAAAGCAUUUGCCAAGAAUGUUUUCAUUAAUCAAGAACGAAAGUUAGAGGUUCGAAGGCGAUUAGAUACCGCCCUAGUUCUAACCAUAAACGAUGCCAGCUAGCGAUCUGCCGCUGUUUUUACUGUAGACUCGGCAGGAAGCUUCCGGGAAACCAAAGCAUUUGGGUUCCAGGGGAAGUAUGGUUGCAAAGCUGAAACUUAAAGGAAUUGACGGAAGGGCACCACCAGGAGUGGAGCCUGUGGCUUAAUUCGACUCAACACGGGAAAUCUCACCAGGCCCGGACACUGGAAGGAUUGACAGAUUGAGAGCUCUUUCUUGAUUCUAUGGGUGGUGGUGCAUGGCCGUUCUU